Molecule: ribosomal RNA, 501 nt
Filed under: uncultured bacterium
Lineage: Bacteria
Description: bacterial SSU rRNA
Rfam family: Bacterial small subunit ribosomal RNA
Source: RNAcentral
GCCAGAGAUGGCUUAGUGCUCGAAAGAGAGCCGUAACACAGGUGCUGCAUGGCUGUCGUCAGCUCGUGUCGUGAGAUGUUGGGUUAAGUCCCGCAACGAGCGCAACCCUUGUCAUUAGUUGCUACGAAAGGGCACUCUAAUGAGACUGCCGGUGACAAACCGGAGGAAGGUGGGGAUGACGUCAAGUCCUCAUGGCCCUUAUAGGUGGGGCUACACACGUCAUACAAUGGCCGGUACAAAGGGUCGCAAACCCGCGAGGGGGAGCUAAUCCAUCAAAGCCGGUCGUAGUCCGGAUCGCAGUCUGCAACUCGACUGCGUGAAGUCGGAAUCGCUAGUAAUCGUGGAUCAGCAUGUCACGGUGAAUACGUUCCCGGGUCUUGUACACACCGCCCGUCACACCAUGGGAGCGGGUCUCGCCAGAAGUAGUUAGCCUAACCGCAAGGAGGGCGAUUACCACGGCGGGGUUCGUGACUGGGGUGAAGUCGUAACAAGGUAACCGUA